CAUGCAAGUCGAACGAUGAUCCGGUGCUUGCACCGGGGAUUAGUGGCGAACGGGUGAGUAACACGUGAGUAACCUGCCCUUAACUCUGGGAUAAGCCUGGGAAACUGGGUCUAAUACCGGAUAUGACUCCUCAUCGCAUGGUGGGGGGUGGAAAGCUUUUUGUGGUUUUGGAUGGACUCGCGGCCUAUCAGCUUGUUGGUGAGGUAAUGGCUCACCAAGGCGACGACGGGUAGCCGGCCUGAGAGGGUGACCGGCCACACUGGGACUGAGACACGGCCCAGACUCCUACGGGAGGCAGCAGUGGGGAAUAUUGCACAAUGGGCGCAAGCCUGAUGCAGCGACGCCGCGUGAGGGAUGACGGCCUUCGGGUUGUAAACCUCUUUCAGUAGGGAAGAAGCGAAAGUGACGGUACCUGCAGAAGAAGCGCCGGCUAACUACGUGCCAGCAGCCGCGGUAAUACGUAGGGCGCAAGCGUUAUCCGGAAUUAUUGGGCGUAAAGAGCUCGUAGGCGGUUUGUCGCGUCUGCCGUGAAAGUCCGGGGCUCAACUCCGGAUCUGCGGUGGGUACGGGCAGACUAGAGUGAUGUAGGGGAGACUGGAAUUCCUGGUGUAGCGGUGAAAUGCGCAGAUAUCAGGAGGAACACCGAUGGCGAAGGCAGGUCUCUGGGCAUUAACUGACGCUGAGGAGCGAAAGCAUGGGGAGCGAACAGGAUUAGAUACCCUGGUAGUCCAUGCCGUAAACGUUGGGCACUAGGUGUGGGGGACAUUCCACGUUUUCCGCGCCGUAGCUAACGCAUUAAGUGCCCCGCCUGGGGAGUACGGCCGCAAGGCUAAAACUC
RNAcentral lists this ribosomal RNA (838 nucleotides) under Arthrobacter sp. 3C7. RNAcentral's name for it is "bacterial SSU rRNA". It matches the Rfam family "Bacterial small subunit ribosomal RNA", at positions 54 to 902 of the family's 1533-position model. The record is from RNAcentral. Lineage: Bacteria; Bacillati; Actinomycetota; Actinomycetes; Micrococcales; Micrococcaceae.